CGACACUGUGCUCUGGAAAGUGGCUUGUGAAAAUUCAAUGGAAGAGAACGGUCAGGUACUCUGAGGCCUUCCAUGUCAAUUCCAGGACUGCUUCUAGGGCCUCAUCAUCCAGUUGCAUCACGCUCCUUCUGAGGACUCCAGUUUGGCAUGUUUCCUAUCACACAGUGCCCUCCACACCCAGCUGCCCCGGGACCUCUGACCUCCUCACCUCUCCUCACUUCCCCUGUGCAUCUCUGGUGCCCCUGCCCUGCUGUGCCGGAUCUCCAUUUUCUAACCAUGUACCAGGUAUUUUCACCGGGGUAAGCUGUGGCCCUUUUAGAUAUUUAAAAGUUAAGUCAACCACCCUCCAAAACAAGCUUUAUUUAAAAAUCCCUAAGUAAAUGUUUGAGUUCUUCUACAGUCAUCUUAGACUAUCCUACGAGUCCUUCACACUGAAAAGCAAGUGCUGGUUCAGCACGUCCUUCUGGUAACCUCAGCAUCCGGACUGUUGGCUCGGCUGCAGCCCCAGCAGCUGACUUCAAUAGCACAGUGUCU
Molecule: long non-coding RNA, 534 nt
Filed under: Vulpes vulpes (red fox)
Lineage: Eukaryota; Metazoa; Chordata; Mammalia; Carnivora; Canidae
Description: lncRNA (ENSVVUG00000013900.1)
Source: RNAcentral